RNAcentral lists this ribosomal RNA (404 nucleotides) under Tenellia sp. 1 AF-2006. RNAcentral's name for it is "partial 16S ribosomal RNA". It matches the Rfam family "Bacterial large subunit ribosomal RNA", at positions 1924 to 2610 of the family's 2925-position model. Lineage: Eukaryota; Metazoa; Mollusca; Gastropoda; Nudibranchia; Trinchesiidae. The record is from RNAcentral.
UGAAUGGCCGCGGUAUCCUGACCGUGCUAAGGUAGCGUAAUAAGUUGGCUUUUAAAUGGAGUCAGGUAUGAAUGGAUAAACUGGGUUUAGCUGUCUCAAAUGUAAUAUAUCGAAUUUACUGUGCAAGUGAAAAAGCUUGUAUAUAAUAAGGGGACGAGAAGACCCUUAAAAUUUUAGUUUAAAGUAAUAUUAUUAUUACUAUAAUUUUGUUGGGGCGACAUAGAAAUAUUUAUACCUUUCUGUAAAAAUCAAGCCGGAAUUUUCAAGAGAGAAUAAAUUACUUAAGGGAUAACAGCAUAAUUCUAUAAUUGAGUUUGUGACCUCGAUGUUGGACUAGGAAGCUAGCAGGUUAGACACUUGCUGUGGAAAUUCUGUUCGAAUUAUAACUCCUACGUGAUCUGAGU